Molecule: ribosomal RNA, 301 nt
Filed under: uncultured bacterium
Lineage: Bacteria
Description: partial 16S ribosomal RNA
Rfam family: Bacterial small subunit ribosomal RNA
Source: RNAcentral
CAGCCGCCACGGUAAUACGAAGGGGGCUAGCGUUGCUCGGAAUUACUGGGCGUAAAGGGAGCGUAGGCGGAUCGUUUAGUCAGGGGUGAAAUCCCGGGGCUCAACCUCGGAACUGCCUUUGAUACUGGCGAUCUUGAGUAUGGGAGAGGUGUGUGGAACUCCGAGUGUAGAGGUGAAAUUCGUAGAUAUUCGGAAGAACACCAGUGGCGAAGGCGACUCACUGGCCCGUUACUGACGCUGAGGCGCGAAAGCGUGGGGAGCAAACAGGAUUAGAUACCCGAGUAGUCCCUGUCUCUUAUAC